RNAcentral lists this ribosomal RNA (158 nucleotides) under Plenodomus biglobosus. RNAcentral describes it as "Leptosphaeria biglobosa 5.8S ribosomal RNA". It matches the Rfam family "5.8S ribosomal RNA". From Rfam's summary of the family: 5.8S ribosomal RNA (5.8S rRNA) is a component of the large subunit of the eukaryotic ribosome. It is transcribed by RNA polymerase I as part of the 45S precursor that also contains 18S and 28S rRNA. Lineage: Eukaryota; Fungi; Ascomycota; Dothideomycetes; Pleosporales; Leptosphaeriaceae. The record is from RNAcentral.
UUACAACUUUCAACAACGGAUCUCUUGGUUCUGGCAUCGAUGAAGAACGCAGCGAAAUGCGAUAAGUAGUGUGAAUUGCAGAAUUCAGUGAAUCAUCGAAUCUUUGAACGCACAUUGCGCCCCUUGGUAUUCCAUGGGGCAUGCCUGUUCGAGCGUCA